Small nuclear RNA from Neogale vison (American mink), 144 nucleotides. RefSeq annotates it as U4 spliceosomal RNA. NCBI's taxonomy places the organism in Eukaryota, Metazoa, Chordata, Mammalia, Carnivora, Mustelidae. The transcript has a single exon. The record is from RefSeq and is a predicted model, not a curated record.
AGCUUUGUGCAGUGGCAGUAUCGUAGCCAAUGAGGUUUAUCCGAGGCGCGAUUAUUGCUAUUUAUUAUAUCUUCCUAACUAGAUUGAUUGUAAGCUUCCUGAAAGCUUGAACAAUAUCUAAACUUUUGUAAGCCCUUCCCAGGA